RNAcentral lists this ribosomal RNA (460 nucleotides) under uncultured bacterium. RNAcentral's name for it is "partial 16S ribosomal RNA". It matches the Rfam family "Bacterial small subunit ribosomal RNA", at positions 338 to 795 of the family's 1533-position model. The record is from RNAcentral.
CCUACGGGAGACAGCAGUGAGGAAUAUUGGUCAAUGGACGAGAGUCUGAACCAGCCAAGUAGCGUGAAGGAUGACUGCCCUAUGGGUUGUAAACUUCUUUUAUAUGGGAAUAAAACGUUCCACGUGUGGGAUUUUGUAUGUACCAUAUGAAUAAGGAUCGGCUAACUCCGUGCCAGCAGCCGCGGUAAUACGGAGGGUCCGGGGGGUAUCCGGAUUUAUUGGGGUUAAAGGGAGCGUAGGUGGAUUGUUAAGUCAGUUGUGAAAGUUUGGGGCUCAACCGUAAAAUUGCAGUUGAAACUGGCAGUCUUGAGUGCAGUAGAGGUGGGCGGAAUGCGUGGUGUAGCGGUGAAAUGCUUAGAUAUCACGAAGAACUCCGAUUGCGAAGGCAACUCACUGGACUGCAACUGACACUGAGGCUCGAAAGUGUGGGUAUCGAACAGGAUUAGAUACCCCAGUAGUC